This 439-nucleotide ribosomal RNA is filed under the name uncultured bacterium. Its description in RNAcentral is "partial 16S ribosomal RNA". It matches the Rfam family "Bacterial small subunit ribosomal RNA", at positions 339 to 795 of the family's 1533-position model. The record is from RNAcentral.
CUACGGGUUGCAGCAGUGAGGAAUAUUGCACAAUGGGGGGAACCCUGACGCAGCAACGCCGCGUGGAGGAUGACGCAUUUCGGUGUGUAAACUCCUUUUAUAUGUCAAGAAAAUGACGGUAGCAUAUGAAUAAGCACCGGCUAACUCCGUGCCAGCAGCCGCGGUAAUACGGAGGGUGCAAGCGUUACUCGGAAUCACUGGGCGUAAAGGACGCGUAGGCGGGUUGGAAAGUCAGGUGUGAAAUCCUAAAGCUUAACUGUAGAACUGCACUUGAAACUUCUAAUCUAGAGUAUGGGAGGGGGAGAUGGAAUUAGUGGUGUAGGGGUAAAACCCGUAGAUAUCACUAGGAAUACCUAAAGCGAAGGCGAUCUCCUGGAACAUUACUGACGCUAAGGCGUGAAAGCGUGGGGAGCAAACAGGAUUAGAUACCCUCGUAGUC